UCUGAGCAUCUCCCGAGGAUACAAAGUGCCUUGGGCAUUGUUUAGUUGGGAAAAUCCUCCGCUGGAUUGUGUUGCCAUGGAAUUGACAGUGUGUGUGAGAUAAAGCAAACACCACAGAGACACCAGGACAUCUUGACAAGAGGCCAGACGCUGUGUCCCCAGUGACUGUCCACUGACAAUUGACUUUUCAGGAGGAGAUGUGUUUAGCACAGCUUACAAUUGAUGUGCUAAAAUAUUGAUAGAGGACAUUUUAUGGGAUGGGGAGGGGAUGCUGGGAUUGACCCCAACAUAUUGAUGACUGUACAUUGUUCAGGCUUCAUCACACUUCCUGGUAAGAGGGAGAGUUUAGAUGCGCCCCAGCUUGCGAAGGCCCCGGGUCCUUUAUGGUGCCAUGAGCUAAUUGUGUACAUUAUCACACCUUGCUGGCCCCGUGUCCACUCGCCGGCCAGCCAAACAAGCCGGGACGCCUUUCCACGCCAUUUAUUGCCAGCAGGUGAAAUAUGGACCACCUGCCACCGCCUGAGAAUGAUGGAACACGUCUUUCUUGAUGUGAUUUUACUUCACCUGAUAAUUAUAUUCACUUUUGAUUGACACUGUAUCAUCUGCUAAGAUAUCCUAGUCAGUUUACUGUUUGUUUUGAUAUAUAG
Molecule: long non-coding RNA, 647 nt
Organism: Doryrhamphus excisus (bluestripe pipefish)
Lineage: Eukaryota; Metazoa; Chordata; Actinopteri; Syngnathiformes; Syngnathidae
Source: RefSeq, a predicted model, not a curated record